UCUGAGAUCACUUAGUCCAACCAUCAGCCCAUGCCCACUGACCACAUCCCUCAGUGCCAUACCCACACGUUUCUUCAGCACCCUCAGGGACAGUGGCUGCACCACCUCCCUGCACCAUCUACCUCACCACUCUUCUUAGAUGAAAAUUUUCUCAUUAUCCAGCCUGAAUCUGCCCUGGCACAACCUGAGGCCAUCAUUCUCUCUCACCCUAUUGCUGUUACCUGGUUCAAGAGGCCAACUCACAUCUCAUUACAACCUCCCUUCAGGUAGUUGUGGACAGUGAUAAGGUCUCCCCUGAGCCUCCUCUUCUCCAGACUUAACAAUCCCAGUUCCUUUAGCCCAUAAGAUUUGUGCUCCAGACUCCUCACAGCUUCAUUACCCUUCUCUGGAUACUCUCCAAGGUCUUGAUGUCUUUCUUGUAGCGAAAGGCCCAAAACUGAACGCAGUACUCAAGGUGAAGCCUCACCAGUACCAAGUACAGAGCCAAACAUAAUUCAUGGAAUGAGCUUUCCUGCCUGGAUCAAGCUUUCAUCUGUCAGCAAGCAGCAGGCAAAGAGAAAUCCAGAGACAGUGGUGCUGGGAAUCACCAUGAAGGCCCUGCUUAUGUUUGGGAGAGUUCGGCCCAAGUUACCAUCAACAAGUAACCAGACUGUCAUGGCUGUCGGAAUUCUCAUUUCUAAUGACUGCAAACCAGCAGCAGCUGUUCAGAAAGGAAACAAAUGGCAAUACCCAUGUCCUUCUUUGUCUGUCUUUCCCACAUCCCAGGGACAACCGGACUGUACUUUCAAAGAGAUGAGAGGCCACCAGUCAAAAAGCCACUAAAAGGCAGCCCCUUGCUGGAACCAGCAAGCACACCUUCAGGGAAGAAAUCUUUGUCCUAAAAAUCAGCUGACAUUCUAUCACUCAUGGCGUCUUCCUACUGCUGUUCUUUUCCUCUCCUCUGUACGCACCUUCAUUCCCCUUUUCCUUCUUCCAUUUGGUUUUCUUCCCAGCCGUGGGACUCAGUGCCCCGUUCCAGCUGUCCCACUCCAGCUGGAGUUAGUACGUCCACUCACACACACAUAGUUCAAUGCUCUGCUCCUGUCUCACUUCACCAUGGUCUCAGGCACACACACACCCCGUCCCCGUCCCCGUCCCUCCUGGGCAGGAAGGAUGCUGUCGGGGUUGCACAGCUGUUCGCUCUCCAUCCUUGCUUUAGCUGCCUCCUUUCCUGCUUUCUCCCCAGCCCUGGGGCAGCAGCAGCUUUGGUCAAGCAGCACGGUACAGCAUAGCAUCAGCCUGUGUGAGGAGGGGGAACUACAGCAGUACAUCAAGCAAAACCCACACACAGCAGCAGCCCGGGAAGGGGCUCGUGCCAAUCUGUUCCUUGUACAGCACCAGCCAGUUAUUUGUGCACGUGUGAGAGCGUACAGGAAGAGGGAUGAGGCAGGCAGCCAGGCCUCAGAUCCCUCUCUAUAACUUAAUUUGUACAACCAAGAGAAGCAGACAUACUGAAACACGAGCAGACAGACAAAAAAGUGAGACCAGUGCAGCAAAUGGUCUGUCACAUUUGCUGGGCUAGGCAGAAACCAAAGCCAGGCAUGGACUAUUUGCUAAAUACAGCACAUCAGUGCUCAGUGACUUUUUGGGGGGCAGGCUGAAGGGAAAAAGUUUUCCUUCACGUUUUGGCUUGUUAAAGUGUUACAAGCUCAAGUGGAAAUGAUUUACUCCUGAUGGAUGCGGCGCUGCUGUUGGACUGAUGAGUUUAAUAACCUACGGACACGGAGAGUGAAGCCCUAAAUAAAUCACAACAAAUGAAAAUACUGUUAGCAGUUUCAUAAUUUAAUGAAAAAGUACUUGUAAAAAGGGGACAUCUGAAAAAGACCGAGUCCAUCUUGGAAAAUUGAAUAUAUAUAUAUAUAUUUAUAUAUAUAAAACAAAAUGCAAAAACACAAAAAAAAAAAAAAAAAAAAAAUCAACAAAUAAGGUUAAGAGGUAAUACUUCAAACAGUUAGCCACCGAACACACAAUAAAAACUAGCAAAUGCACUUUGGGAACAAUACUUGAGAACUACACAACCAAGGGCUCCUUCAUAUAUCUAUUAAAAUCACGUAAAAAUUAGCAAAACUGUUGCCCAGGAAUGAAUAACCCCAGAAGAGCAGAAACACUGAGUUUUGCUGAAGCACCAUUUUCCUCACCUCCUCCACACGCUGCUGGCCACAAAAUGACAUGAACACUUUGCUCACCUCCCAGUGCAAGCUGCGUGGAAUUUCGUGACCAGGAAGAGGAUUGCUAAUAAAUAUCGAAGGAGAACUUAGAGAAUCAGAACUGGAACACAAAUGAACAGACAUCUGUUUCCUUAUUCUGAACGGCCCAUGGCUUAGAACGCAAAGCAUUUCCCUUUAAAAUAAAAUAUGGCGAAACCUAAAAUGCUACUGCAUAUUUACACCAAAAGAAAUAAUUUUGAAGAUACAGCUCUAGAAAGACAAAUUACACAAAUAUACAAAAAAUCAAGAAGUGGGAGGGAAAAAAGAAAAAAAUAAGAUGCAUGAAGCAAAUAGAUUAGAAUUGCCAACUAUACUGGGUUGUAUUUUUUUUAUUGUUAUUUCACUACAGAAAAGUCCUCCAGCCUUGACCUGCUAGUCCUAUUGGAAGUAGAGAGAUUUCAAAGGUUAAACCAAAUCUGAAAAUGUUGCUGUAAUUUCCUAAGCAAUAAUUUAAGAUGAUAAAGGAAAGCAAGCUGUUGUUUGGGUUCUGCAUAGUCAUCUUUAUGCGGGGUGUGAACCUUCCUAGACAAAAUGAGCUCUCUAGGGUGCUGCAGAUGGCUGGAACGUGCAGCACAGCUGAGAACACUGCAGUAGUUUUGCCUGGAAAAGGAGAAAUUUGUCUCUAUUCAAACAAAAAAAUCCCGGAUCACAUAAACAAGCCAGAAGGGGUUUCCCCUUGCUUCUCACCUCCUCCACACCGGUUGAAAUUUAAACACCAGUUAACAACUGGCUUUAAAGCACAUGCAAAAAGCUUUAGUUUGGGAAACAGCAACUGAUCCAGAGUUUGAAAAGCAGCUUAAUGGAAGCAAUAAGUUUUCAGCAAUUAAAAACAUAUUCCAGAUGAUGACUGGCUAAAAUUUUACAGUCCUAGAUGCCAGAAGCAGGGCUCUUAAGCCCACAUUUAGGCAGCUAGGGUUGAAAAUUUGUGCCUACGUAAAAAAUUCGGACAAAAUUAUUUCUAAUUCAGCUUAUUUUAAAAACACCAGGUACAAAUACCUCUGUACGUGAAAACUCAAUUUCAAGAGGAACCUGGCAUCACUGGUGAUUGCCUAAAUGUAAGUGUCAAAUAGCAUUUUUCUUUGAAGUAGUACAUCUACUUUUGUAAACACUAUCCACAAAAUUAGCCAUCUGUACUUGUUAGCUGGGUAAAAUAUUUACAAGUGCAUCCCACAACAAGCAGCUAUGUACAGAGAUUAAAAAAAAACUGAAGUACUACAAGUUGUAUAUUUACAAAAUAAGCAAAUUAUUGUGAAGAGAAACACAACCCUCAGCAGGAGCGGGGAGCAAGGGCACAACAGAGGUCAGCAAGUUUGGCAGCUCCAGCGACACCUGCUCCAACUUCCACAAGGAGCCUGCAGACACCCCUGCGGCUGGAGCCCCCCCCCCAGGACGGCAGGGGGCCGUCACUCAGUAGUCGCUUGGGCCUGAUCCAGCAGAGCACGCCGGUACGUGCCUGGGGAGCUGAGCCCUGAGCUCUGGGAGAAAUCAGCGGGACUCAGCACAGGAGUAGCUCUAACACGGACCUAAAGUGCCUUGCUGGAUCAGAGCCGCGCUGCAGGUGCCGUAAGAAUGCGGUUUCAGUGUCUCCGUUCGCGGUUCCUUGCAACACGCCAGAGCAAUGCAAGGACUUCUCUAAUGCCUGUCCACCACAAGACUGACAUGAGGUGGACAUCUGGCCUCGCGCACGUGCUGGCAAGGAGGAAGCAGUUUCCUGAAUUUACGUAAGGAUCAACCGCUUCAUGCUUUCCCAGAUGUUCAACUCUAAUAGAACCCAUAAUUUCUUCGUGGCUUUGCAAUAGCUCGGUUAACCUUGCAAAGGCUGCAAGCCAAUUCACAGUUGAACAGAACUACUCUGAUUUCACUCCCCUUCCCAUCUCCCGCUGCAGUUCUUCCUAACGUAGCUCCUGUGCUGUUUUCUGGAACCUGUGGAUGCUGAGCUUUGCACUGGUACACCAGAAUACACAAAGGCUGAGUUACCCCGUGGGGGCUUCUAAUCACCUUUGUACCGAACUGUGAGAAAUCAUAUUCUUUUUGUUUCUAUUGUGACACUCUCUUCCAAAGUCCUUACUUGGGCUUUCUCUCUCCGAGCUACUCCGUCUUAACCUCAUUUGCUCUUUAUUUUCAUCGCUUUCUGCUUCAGAGUCACUCAGCUCCAAGUCGGGACAGUACCCAUCAUUGUCCUGGUACGGAGCCCCUUCGAGCGUCUGCUUGCUCCACAAGCGUUCUUUUGCUGUGAGCCUUCUCGUUGGCUUCUCACAGCACCGCAAAUCUUCCGUUGUCCUCACCAGACUGUUAGUGGCCUCCUUAAAGGACCGGCUAAAGUGUUCGAUGGUGGAUUUUCUAAAGCCGCUCUGGCUGGCCAAAUGAGCCGUCAGCACAGACUCCUGUUCAAAGGGCGUCUGGCUGGAGCUGUCCCUCUGGCUCACGUCGCCAGUCCUGCCCAUCAGCCCAUUGGAUUUGGCCACCAGCCGCGAGCCAUCCUGCUGCAGCCGCCCAUUCCCGAUGGAGGACUGUCCGUGCAGAGCAGCCUGCAGUGCCAGGGGCUUCCCUGAUGGUUGGCCCCGGUGGAACUCUGGCACCUGCACAAGACCGGAGUCCUUCGCCUCACCACGAGGCUUGCCGAUCCCUCCUGUCACAAGCAACCCAUUACUUCUGGUGUCGUGCUGAUACCUGGGGUGGGUGAGACACCAGAUCUACAAGCUGGCCUGAAGGGAAAGUAGAACUGCAAAGAUAAUGAUAAUCAGAUAUAUGCCUGGCACAGAGCUAGGAGCUGCGCACCGCAACAGGCUGCCAUAUUAAAAAGCCAUCCAGAAUCUUGACAUCUUCUUUGUGAAGUUUUGCAAAUGCAAGGCCUGGCUGCUUGAGAGCAGAAGGUUUGGGAAUAAGGCACCCCGCAAUGUCACGGUGCCAACAGAUGUGGCUGCAACCUUACACUACGCCAUUCACUCUAAGGGAUCUACAGAUCUUACCAGAAGGAAAGCACAAGUAUCAUUCUGAGUACAAAAUUAAACACACACAUCCUCUA
Centrocercus urophasianus (Greater sage-grouse) is the source of this 5271-nucleotide long non-coding RNA. RefSeq lists it as uncharacterized. The transcript has 4 exons. Lineage: Eukaryota; Metazoa; Chordata; Aves; Galliformes; Phasianidae. The record is from RefSeq and is a predicted model, not a curated record.